AUUGAACGCUGGCGGCAUGCCUUACACAUGCAAGUCGAACGGCAGCACGGGUGCUUGCACCUGGUGGCGAGUGGCGAACGGGUGAGUAAUACAUCGGAACAUGUCCUGUAGUGGGGGAUAGCCCGGCGAAAGCCGGAUUAAUACCGCAUACGAUCUACGGAUGAAAGCGGGGGACCUUCGGGCCUCGCGCUAUAGGGUUGGCCGAUGGCUGAUUAGCUAGUUGGUGGGGUAAAGGCCUACCAAGGCGACGAUCAGUAGCUGGUCUGAGAGGACGACCAGCCACACUGGGACUGAGACACGGCCCAGACUCCUACGGGAGGCAGCAGUGGGGAAUUUCGGACAAUGGGCGAAAGCCUGAUCCAGCAAUGCCGCGUGUGUGAAGAAGGCCUUCGGGUUGUAAAGCACUUUUGUCCGGAAAGAAAUCCUUGGCUCUAAUACAGUCGGGGGAUGACGGUACCGGAAGAAUAAGCACCGGCUAACUACGUG
RNAcentral lists this ribosomal RNA (486 nucleotides) under uncultured bacterium. Its description in RNAcentral is "partial 16S ribosomal RNA". It matches the Rfam family "Bacterial small subunit ribosomal RNA", at positions 30 to 507 of the family's 1533-position model. The record is from RNAcentral.